RNAcentral lists this ribosomal RNA (449 nucleotides) under uncultured bacterium. RNAcentral's name for it is "partial 16S ribosomal RNA". It matches the Rfam family "Bacterial small subunit ribosomal RNA", at positions 29 to 523 of the family's 1533-position model. The record is from RNAcentral.
AAUGAACGCUGGCGGCAGGCCUAACACAUGCAAAUCGAACGGAUUCUUCGGGAUUAGUGGCGGACGGGUGAGUAACGCGUGGGAACAUACCCAAAGGUACGGAAUAGCCUCGGGAAACUGGGAGUAAUACCGUAUGUGCUCGAAAGAGGAAAGAUUUAUCGCCUUUGGAUUGGCCCGCGUUGGAUUAGGUAGUUGGUGGGGUAAUGGCCUACCAAGCCGACGAUCCAUAGCUGGUUUGAGAGGAUGAUCAGCCUCACUGGGACUGAGACACGGCCCAGACUCCUACGGGAGGCAGCAGUGAGGAAUCUUAGACAAUGGGGGAAACCCUGAUCUAGCCAUGCCGCGUGAUCGAUGAAGGCCUUAGGGUUGUAAAGAUCUUUCAGGUGGGAAGAUAAUGACUGUACCACCAGAAGAAGCCCCGGCUAACUCCGUGCCAGCCGCCGCCGUAA